Molecule: ribosomal RNA, 497 nt
Filed under: uncultured bacterium
Lineage: Bacteria
Description: partial 16S ribosomal RNA
Rfam family: Bacterial small subunit ribosomal RNA
Source: RNAcentral
GAUGAACGCUGGCGGCGUGCCUAAUACAUGCAAGUCGAGCGAACAGACGAGGAGCUUGCUCCUCUGACGUUAGCGGCGGACGGGUGAGUAACACGUGGAUAACCUACCUAUAAGACUGGGAUAACUUCGGGAAACCGGAGCUAAUACCGGAUAAUAUAUUGAAGCGCAUGGUUCAAUAGUGAAAGACGGUUUUGCUGUCACUUAUAGAUGGAUCCGGGCGGCAUUAGCUAGUUGGUAAGGUAACGGCUUACCAAGGCGACGAUGCGUAGCCGACCUGAGAGAGGGAUAGGCCACACUGGAACUGGAACGCGGACCAGACUCCUACGAGACGCAGCAGUAGGGAAUCUUCCGCAAUGGGCGAAAGCCUGACGGAGCAACGGCGCGUGAGUGAUGAAGGUCUUCGGAUCGUAAAACUCUGUUAUUAGGGAAGAACAAAUGUGUAAGUAACUAUGCACGGCGUGACGGUACCUAAUCAGAAAGCCACGGCUAACUACGUG